RNAcentral lists this long non-coding RNA (571 nucleotides) under Homo sapiens (human). RNAcentral's name for it is "non-protein coding MEF2C-AS1:32". The record is from RNAcentral. Lineage: Eukaryota; Metazoa; Chordata; Mammalia; Primates; Hominidae.
AGACUCGUCCAGAAAACUGCGUCCAGGAAGGAAGUGACAGAAGACGAAUGGGAAAAGGAGAACAGCUCACAGCGUUUGAAACAUCGCGAAGUUGUACCCGUCAGCACCUGCUGAGGGCUUUGUUGUCCAAACCCUGACAGGUAAAAAAAUUCCUGCAGAAUAAAGCCAGACCAGCUGGCUUUGAAGAGAAACCCCCCAGUUUGGGCUGCGUUUGCCUCCUCUCCUUUUCUAUGAAGACCGAGGCUUUGCCCCCUUGAUCGUCAAGCCGUGAGAUGCGUGAUCUCUCUGCACAAGUGUCUGGCAGGCCGAGGGCACCACUUUCAGAUAAAAACAUAGACCUGAAUGGCAUCAUCCAGUAUCCAAGGAAACCAUUGUGUCUGUAACCAGCUAAUGAGCUGCAACAGAGCCUGGCCUUCAUUUUCAGCAAAUUAAGUUCAUCCCUCAUAGGAAUUGUGGUCUGGCUGUGGCACCGCUCCUAGGUAUGGGUGGGAUUUGUUUCUUCUAGCAGUUGUAGGUUAGCCACAUGGGUACGUGCUGUCGCACCACACAACAAAAUUUUCUCUAUAAUAAC